RNAcentral lists this unclassified non-coding RNA (274 nucleotides) under uncultured Acidobacteriota bacterium. Its description in RNAcentral is "uncultured Acidobacteria bacterium contains 16S-23S intergenic spacer region". Lineage: Bacteria; Pseudomonadati; Acidobacteriota. The record is from RNAcentral.
UCCAGCUUAUCGCUGGCGGUCUCCUGCGAGUGCCGCCUUUCGGCAUGGUAACACAGGACAAGGGUUGUCAGAGGCAUUCUAGCCCAGGUAAGGUUCUUCGCGUUGCGUCGAAUUAAACCACAUGCUCCACCGCUUGUGCGGGUCCCCGUCAAUUCCUUUGAGUUUCAGUCUUGCGACCGUACUCCCCAGGCGGAAUGCUUAAAGCGUUAGCGACGGCACCCGGGGACUAUAUAACCCCAGACACCAAGCAUUCAUCGUUUAAGGCUAGGACUAC